GCAAGAAAUGCAGUAUGGAUAGGUCCUUCUUCGUCUGUGAAAAUUCGUAACAUUUUUGCUCGCCAAUUUCGUCCGCCAUCUUGGACCUGUAAUCUGCCAGUCGUUAGUCCUCGCUUAAGGAUUCCUGUGGAUGUCCACGCAACAGCAGAUAACGACUGGAAAUAUGGGGUUUGGACACAGUCAAGUACAACGAGUUACGAGUUAUGCCGAUAUUAUAUUAUAUUAUUAUUAUUAGUUACGUGACCCGAUAGAGCAAGUUCAUACAAGAUUCUGUAAAUUAAUCCUACUGAACCUAGGCGUUAGCAGAAGAGCCACAAACAAAGCUUGCAGAUCAGAACUAGGACAAUUCCCACUUUUAGUCAAGAUAAAAGCUGUAUCAUUUUUGGGCACGGCUUCUGACACUUGACGAACACAGAAUAGCAAAACAAGCAUAUCUGGACCAAUUAAGUUUUACGAAUUCGCGGAACUGGGCAAUGGAAAUUUUACAAAUCACUUUUAUUUCAAAACGGUUAUGGCUACUGUUGAGAAUACCAAAGCGAUGCUACCUUAGACACCAAAUCAAUAAAACAACUUUAUAAAGAAUUCAAACAGAGAUUAGAAGAUAUCCUUUUCGACGAUAAUUCCAGACCAAUUGGAGGGAACAAACUAAAAACAUUAAAUAUCGUAGGGCACUAACAAAACUAAGAAUAAGCGACCACAUUCUACAAAUUGAACGAGGUCGCUACAAUUACUAGCCCCCCAAAAACACCAUAGCAUUGUAGCUAAAUACAUUUAUGACUGCUUUUUAAUUAGAAAAUCUUAUUUGUAAAUAUUAGAGAAUAAUGGCC
This is a long non-coding RNA of Nematostella vectensis (starlet sea anemone), 827 nucleotides long. RefSeq lists it as uncharacterized. The transcript has 2 exons. NCBI's taxonomy places the organism in Eukaryota, Metazoa, Cnidaria, Anthozoa, Actiniaria, Edwardsiidae. The record is from RefSeq and is a predicted model, not a curated record.